AACCACUAUUUGCAGACUUUAAAUUUCCAGAAACAACAACUAAAUGCACAAAAUAACAAAAUGAUAAAAACCUAAACACACAAAAAAAAUGCUAAAAGAAAUAAACCUACAAAAGACUAACUAAACACCCUAAAACUCAACACAACACAAAUAAACAUGCGACACGCACACACAAUAACACACACACAAAACAGAACAUCACACUCACAACACAAGACAAAAUACAACAUGCACUAACACAACUAAAGACCUAAAACCGAACCGUUGGUCCCCGACAAUGACGCCAAAAUUUGAUGGGUGUCGCGGCCCAUACAAAUUUGAUUGCAUAUUAGGAAUGCAGUAUAUACUAGGAAAUGACUCCUAGGUCGUCUCUCAAGGAACAAACUGUGGUUCAGGAAUCAGGUCAGACACGAAGUAGGGGGGGUUUGUGAAAGGUUUUGAGACGAGAAUUGAGCUAAAUUAAAUGCAUGAAAAUUAAACAUAACAGAACUGAAAGCAUUAAAGUGAACAAAAACAAUAAAUUAAACAAUCCUAAAACAAGAUGUGUACUAAUUAACAUGCAAGAAAUAAAUGACAAAACUCUUAAAUUGAAAUGUUGAACUAACAAAAUCAAAUACAUAUAUAAAGCUUGGAACUUGUAAAACAAAGUCACCACUGAUUCAAGCAUCAACAUAAUAUAAAGAAAUAUAAAAAGACUUUUUUUUAGAGCUAAAGCAAAAUAAAAAAAAAUUGCAAAGGCUACGGCAAUGACAUUGCUAAAAAAAAUAAAAUGCAUCUUCCUUUUUUUUUUCUUAAAGCAAAGCUUUUAAAUGAAAAUUGAAUAAAUGUUUCUCUCAUUCUAGCUAAAGAAAAAGAAAAUUAAAUGUUGUCUGCACCUAAAGUAAAUAUACAUCUACUUCUAAAAUAACC
RNAcentral lists this long non-coding RNA (909 nucleotides) under Vigna radiata. RNAcentral's name for it is "long non-coding RNA (VRAD_LNC006077)". Lineage: Eukaryota; Viridiplantae; Streptophyta; Magnoliopsida; Fabales; Fabaceae. The record is from RNAcentral.